GCACAAUUAUUUAUGCAAGACCUGAAGAUUACUGGCUGUGACGUCCAACAAGGAAGAAAAAAAAUUCUUCAAUACUCUUCAAGCCAAAAGGCACUGUUUUACACUGGCUUCAACUCAAAAGCCUAUUCUUCAAAGAAGACCCUGGUAAGUUGCUGGGCAGAAGAGGAAGACAAAAAGAGAAUACUUUAACCCAGGAAGGGCUCUUCCACCCCAGAGGCAGAGACACCACAGCAGAGGAAAUGUUGUGUGGAGCAGCUACGAGCAGGAACUUUUUCAGAUGACAUCAAAGGCAAGUUUCAUUCGGACCUGAAUGCACUUCAACGUGUAUCUGUACAAAUCCCACGAAGCAACCUGCAUUUGGCGCUUGUGAAAUGCACCCAUCAAGUUACCACAAAGGAAAAUGACAGCAUUGGCAAGCAGCUGCACAAGAAGAAAAAUAUUUACCUACUGCACAGCAGUCAUUGAUACUUCACUAACACACAUACUAGUCCCAUAAAAACAAUUAAUCCCAGACCGCCUUCCAUUUCCUCCUACCCUGCCACAUAACAAAUCACAGUGCUGCAAUUAGCCAGGAUGUAGCUGGAAAACAUAAGCUAACUUUCAGAGUCACCAGCAUUCCUGUACAAAUAUACAGUAGAAUAACGAAACAGAAAAUUCUGCUACAUCAUUUAACAUCUAUUUCCAGGCACCAGUGUUUGAUUUAUGGAGAAACCAGUCUACAAACUCGUGCAUCAGCACUCUGUGUGGAGUCUGGCACACACCUGCACCAAAUGAGCUGGGGUGCUCCUUUGAACACACCCUAUUAAUAAGUGUUGGGAACCCUAAAAACACUCAGCAGCACUCCCAGGCCCUGCUGCCACCCCAGGGCAGCAAUGGCCCUUUUGAUCCACCCUGUGGGCAGUGCCUGAUAAAGUUAGAUAGACCCACCUGAAACAGCACAGAUUGGGAAGAAUGAUUGUGACAAAGUUAAUCAUAUUUUUAAUAACUUUGUUUAAAAAUUAAUAGAACAAUCCUGCUUUUUCCACUUAGGUCAGAAAAACAAAAUGCAUUAUAGAUUUAAAAAUUCACAAUUUUAUGAAAAGCCCGAGUUUUUUGGGGCCCAAGCUCCAAAUCCAUGAACUUGAAACAUCCAUGUGGAAGUCUGGAACUUUUCUAAACAGAACAGUUAUGCCAAUAGCAAAUGGUAAUAUGACUGGGGUGUUUAAUUACUUAACCAAGUGGUAUUUCCUUACCUGAAAUAGAAAGGAUUCCUUCUUUUCCUGAGAAGUCAUGCUUACCACAGUGCUUAGAACAAUAAUAUGGGAGAGAGCAGAAAGAACACUAAUUAUGACAGCACCUCUCAUCCCAAAGGGUAGCAUGGUAUAAACUGUGAAGAUUAUGAACAGAAAGAACGGCACCUUUGGGAAAAGAAAAAGAGAAGAAAAAAGAAAAAAAUCACAUAUACACAUUAUUGGGUGUCUCCCAAAAAUCACUACAGAAAAAGGAGCAAAGCUGCAGGAUUUAAGACUGAACAAUUAAAUAUUCACGUUUCAAAAGCACAGUUAAAACCAUAAGGACUGUGGUAUUUCUAAGAGAUUUGAGGGAACUGGCAGCUACAGAUUCACAGACAAGAUUGUUUAACAUGACAUAUCACCUAUAAUUUUUUCAGCUGUCCUUGCCCUUUAUCCUGAAUUUAUCCAUUACAGCUCAGAUGCACUUUGGAUGCACUUUGUACUCACACGUCAGGAACAGUGUGUUGCAAGGGUAGCAAUACUGAAUGGAAUCAGAUUUCUCACCUUCUCCAAGUUAUUAUUCUAAUUUUAACAUCACCCAAUCGAUGUGUAUGUUUACCCUGUGCUUGAUAAAACCCAAAAGUCCAACCAAUGCUUCCUGGUGCUGACAAAAAAGAAUAACCUUUAUUGCCACUGACUACGUACUUAGACUUGCACAGAUUUUACAAAAUGCACAACAGGCACUAAACUUCAAGGGGUCAGUAGCAAGGCCUAUAAUACUUAAAUCCAUAUUUAUAGAUUUUUUGAAAUGUUAGCUUAUAUAUGUGGAAACUAACAACUCCGAUGAGAGGAAAAUAGUGCAGCAUUCCUGGCUCAGCUCCACCUCAUCACAGCAACUCAACUUGUGCCAUUCCAGACAGGAGCUUCCUUCGAGGAAGUCUCAAGGCCCCAUCUGCACUUAAAGGUUUUGCCAGAAUAGAUAGUUUGGUUGGGACAACAAUAAAGAAACAA
Molecule: long non-coding RNA, 2222 nt
Organism: Pipra filicauda (Wire-tailed manakin)
Lineage: Eukaryota; Metazoa; Chordata; Aves; Passeriformes; Pipridae
Exons: 3
Source: RefSeq, a predicted model, not a curated record